UACACGUUUUUAAACAUCAUUUUGUGUGUAAGUGUGUAUUAGUACAUGCUAACGAUAUUCAAAAAGUACAUACCUCAAAGAAAACGAUGACGCGAGUUAUCGUCUCUAACGUUCGAGGACUACAAAAAACACUCGGAUUGUAGGCAACAGUUUACUUCCUGGGAUUAGUGACGUAGAUAAGACCAACAUUAUCAUAGUUCAGCCCUCUCUGCUUUGCUUGGGUACGCCCUCAAAGACGGGGGUGGGGAGCGCCGAGUCAGAAGAGAGCUAAAAUGGCGGAGGUUGUGAGUCCCUGCUUUGACUCUGUUUGCAAACUCUUGUUUCAUUGUUUAAGCGAUUAAAUCUCUCGAGUAGACGCUGUCUCUUUAGAUGCGAGGGCAAAAUAGCACUUUAUGGACUUACACAGAGGACAUCAUGUUUAAUACGGUUCCGGAAAAAUCCAGUCAGAAGUUGUUCACGGAGUUUUCACAAUAACUGCUUCUCAUGAACCGAAGCUGGAUUUGCGCGACGUCUCCUCUUGAAAGUUGGAUUACUGUGCACUUCUGGAUCACAGGCUAUUCGCAGCUGUACACAUCCUUCUACACUGUAUGCAAACAUGCAACAUCAUAACACACAGUACAAGGAGUCAGACUGGCAUAUGAGGAGCAAAGGAACCCAGGCAGUAGCAUCGUUUCACAAUGUUUCCAUCAUCAUCAUCAGUGGAUGCCUUUGCCGUCCGUAGCCUGAGAUUUCAGAUUUGCAGCAAAAUUUUUUUGAUUUUCUCCUUUAUUGGAAUGCUGUG
This is a long non-coding RNA of Paramisgurnus dabryanus, 781 nucleotides long. RefSeq lists it as uncharacterized. NCBI's taxonomy places the organism in Eukaryota, Metazoa, Chordata, Actinopteri, Cypriniformes, Cobitidae. The record is from RefSeq and is a predicted model, not a curated record.